GAUGAACGCUGACAGAAUGCUUAACACAUGCAAGUCGAUUCAAUUUACCUUCGGGUAUUGAGGAUGGCGGACGGGUGAGUAACGCGUAAGGAACUUGCCUCUUGGUCUGGGACAACUGUUGGAAAUGACAGCUAAUACCGGAUAUUAUGAGAUUCUCGCAUGGGAAACUUAUGAAAGCUAUAUGCGCCAAGAGAGAGCCUUGCGUUCCAUUAGCUAGUUGGUGGGGUAACGGCCCACCAAGGCGACGAUGGAUAGCCGGCCUGAGAGGGUGAACGGCCACAAGGGGACUGAGACACGGCCCUUACUCCUACGGGAGGCAGCAGUGGGGAAUAUUGGANNNNGGGNNNNNNGCCUGAUCCAGCAAUUCUGUGUGCACGAUGAAGGUCUUCGGAUUGUAAAGUGCUUUCAGUUGGGAAGAAGAAAGUGACGGUACCAACAGAAGAAGCGACGGCUAAAUACGUGCCAGCAGCCGCGGUAAUACGUAUGUCGCAAGCGUUAUCCGGAUUUAUUGGGCGUAAAGCGCGUCUAGGCGGAAAAAUAAGUCUGAUGUUAAAAUGCGGGGCUCAACUCCGUAUUGCGNUG
Molecule: ribosomal RNA, 582 nt
Filed under: uncultured prokaryote
Description: bacterial SSU rRNA
Rfam family: Bacterial small subunit ribosomal RNA
Source: RNAcentral